GCCGGGGUAGCUCAGUCGGCAGAGCGGCUCACUCGUAAUGAGCAGGUCAGGGGUUCGAUUCCCCUCCCCGGCUCCA
This 76-nucleotide transfer RNA is filed under the name Pseudomonadota bacterium. Its description in RNAcentral is "tRNA-Thr". It matches the Rfam family "tRNA". From Rfam's summary of the family: Transfer RNA (tRNA) molecules are approximately 80 nucleotides in length. Their secondary structure includes four short double-helical elements and three loops (D, anti-codon, and T loops). RNAcentral also lists the same sequence under 2 other names. Lineage: Bacteria; Pseudomonadati; Pseudomonadota. The record is from RNAcentral.